AUGAGUUUAUCUGCUGCCAUCGGGUUCAUCAGUGGCUUCAAUGAGUGUGUCACUCUCUGGCAGUGGGCCAAAUCUUCCAUUUCAUCUCUGCACUUCCGAUGGAGUGGAGGUCUCCAGGAUCGUGUAUUGCAGUUGGAGAGUGGCCUGCAACGUCUCAGAGAUACUCUUCCUGCAAUGUACGACCUCAUUAAUAAAGCAGAGUGGAGGAGCCAUGAACAUAGUGUGGCCAAUCUCCUUCCAAAUCUCAGGGAUGCAGAGUAUGAGGCUGAGGACCUUCUUGAUGAGUUCAAAUGGUACGAGAAGAAGGUACAAGUGGAAGGCAAUGCAAGCCAAUCUCCUUUCAUUGAAUUCUUUGAUGCCGUCAUCCAAGGCAACUCGACAAACUGA
Molecule: ribosomal RNA, 387 nt
Filed under: Triticum aestivum (bread wheat)
Lineage: Eukaryota; Viridiplantae; Streptophyta; Magnoliopsida; Poales; Poaceae
Description: partial small subunit ribosomal RNA
Source: RNAcentral